GAUGAACGCUAGCGGGAGGCUUAACACAUGCAAGUCGAGCGGGAUUAGCAGCAAUGCUAUGAGAGCGGCGGACGGGUGCGUAACGCGUAUGCAACCUGCCUAUAAGACUGGGAUAACUUCGGGGAAACCGGAGCUAAUACCGGAUAAUUCUUUUCUACACAUGUAGAAAAGCUAAAAGACGGUUUACGCUGUCACUUAUAGAUGGGCCCGCGGCGCAUUAGCUAGUUGGUGAGGUAACGGCUCACCAAGGCCACGAUGCGUAGCCGACCUGAGAGGGUGAUCGGCCACACUGGGACUGAGACACGGCCCAGACUCCUACGGGUGGCAG
RNAcentral lists this ribosomal RNA (328 nucleotides) under uncultured Bacillota bacterium. RNAcentral describes it as "bacterial SSU rRNA". It matches the Rfam family "Bacterial small subunit ribosomal RNA", at positions 28 to 351 of the family's 1533-position model. The record is from RNAcentral. Lineage: Bacteria; Bacillati; Bacillota.